RNAcentral lists this ribosomal RNA (466 nucleotides) under uncultured bacterium. Its description in RNAcentral is "partial 16S ribosomal RNA". It matches the Rfam family "Bacterial small subunit ribosomal RNA", at positions 28 to 507 of the family's 1533-position model. The record is from RNAcentral.
GAUGAACGCUGGCGGCGUGCUUAACACAUGCAAGUCGAACGAUGAAGCUCAGCUUGCUGGGUGUAUUAGUGGCGAACGGGUGAGUAUCACGUGUGUAUCCUGCGCUUUACUCUUGGGGAUGCCUUGAGAACUAGGUCUAUUAUCGGAGAUGAGCGCCUACGGCACGUGGUGUGGGGUGGAGAUUUGUCGGUUUUGGAUGGACUCGCGGCGUAUCAGCUUGUUGGUGGGGUAAUGGCUCACCAAGGCGACGACGGGUAGCCGGCCUGAGAGGGUGACCGGCCACACUGGGACUGAGACACGGCCCAGACUCCUACGGGAGGCAGCAGUGGGGAAUAUUGCACAAUGGGCGAAAGCCUGAUGCAGCGACGCCGCGUGAGGGAUGACGGCCUUCGGGUUGUAAACCGCUUUCAGUAGGGAAGAAGCGAGAGUGACGGUAACGGCAGAAGAAGCACCGGCUAACUACGUG